RNAcentral lists this microRNA (22 nucleotides) under Macaca mulatta (Rhesus monkey). RNAcentral describes it as "Mml-Mir-452-v2_3p* (star (passenger))". The record is from RNAcentral. RNAcentral also lists the same sequence under 6 other names. Lineage: Eukaryota; Metazoa; Chordata; Mammalia; Primates; Cercopithecidae.
CUCAGUCUCAUCUGCAAAGAAG